This 252-nucleotide ribosomal RNA is filed under the name uncultured bacterium. RNAcentral describes it as "partial 16S ribosomal RNA". It matches the Rfam family "Bacterial small subunit ribosomal RNA", at positions 526 to 779 of the family's 1533-position model. The record is from RNAcentral.
CGUAGGGGCGAGCGUUAUCCGGAAUUAUUGGGCGUAAAGCGCGCGCAGGCGGCCGAUUAAGUCAGGUGUGAAAGGCUGCGGCUCAACCGCAGAGCGGCACCUGAAACUGGUCGGCUUGAGUGCAGGAGAGGGGAGCGGAAUUCCCGGUGUAGCGGUGGAAUGCGUAGAGAUCGGGAGGAACACCAGUGGCGAAGGCGGCUCUCUGGCCUGUAACUGACGCUGAGGCGCGAAAGCGUGGGAGCAAACAGGAUU